AUCCGAAUGACGAGUCCCAAAUAGGACGAAAUGCGAAUCCUGGAU
Molecule: non-coding RNA, 45 nt
Filed under: Trichobilharzia regenti
Lineage: Eukaryota; Metazoa; Platyhelminthes; Trematoda; Strigeidida; Schistosomatidae
Source: RNAcentral